GUCAAAACUAACAAGAUGGACAAUAUUAUAGUCAGAAUGCCACAAAAGAAGUACUGAGUAAAUGAAAAGUUUUCUUAACCGACUCAUUCCUCAAAAACCUAAUGUAAAAUAUAUCAUAGCUUAAAAGCACCUCUAGCAAGUAUCAACCCAAGACCAUCAUAUCCUUCUCUUUAACCCUAAAAGAGCAUCCUUCAGUAAGUUUUGCACGGCCACCGGUUGGCUGGCAUAGCACUUGCUGGCAAUUGGGGCAUGUAACCACGGUUUGCGAGUGGCUGAAAAUUGUUGUUAUUUGGAAGCAGCCUUGGCAUUUGACAUCCAGAAAAGUAGAAUUAGGUGAUUGGACCAAACGCUUAAGCUUGUGCUUUUGCUUCUCAAGCUCAGCAGGAGGGUGAAGCAAGUCAGUGUCAUUUGAAAUCUUUGGAAUACCCAUAUUGCCUUGAAGCUUU
This 446-nucleotide unclassified non-coding RNA is filed under the name Hevea brasiliensis (rubber tree). Lineage: Eukaryota; Viridiplantae; Streptophyta; Magnoliopsida; Malpighiales; Euphorbiaceae. The record is from RNAcentral.